GACGAACGCUGGCGGCGUGCUUAACACAUGCAAGUCGAACGGAAAGGCCCUGCUUUUGUGGGGUGCUCGAGUGGCGAACGGGUGAGUAACACGUGAGUAACCUGCCCUUGACUUUGGGAUAACUUCAGGAAACUGGGGCUAAUACCGGAUAGGAGCUCCUGCUGCAUGGUGGGGGUUGGAAAUUUUCGGCGGUUGGGGAUGGACUCGCGGCUUAUCAGCUUGUUGGUGGGGUAGUGGCUUACCAAGGCUUUGACGGGUAGCCGGCCUGAGAGGGUGAACGGCCACAUUGGGACUGAGAUACGGACCAGACUCCUACGGGAGGCAGCAGUGGGGAAUAUUGCACAAUGGGCGGAAGCCUGAUGCAGCAACGCCGCGUGCGGGAUGACGGCCUUGGGGUUGUAAACCGCUUUCGCCUGUGACGAAGCGUGAGUGACGGUAAUGGGUAAAGAAGCACCGGCUAACUACGUG
This 468-nucleotide ribosomal RNA is filed under the name uncultured bacterium. RNAcentral describes it as "partial 16S ribosomal RNA". It matches the Rfam family "Bacterial small subunit ribosomal RNA", at positions 28 to 507 of the family's 1533-position model. The record is from RNAcentral.